CAAGAAAUAGUUUAAAGAAAAUACUAGUUUUGGAUAUUAGAGAUGUAAUCUUUCUUGA
This 58-nucleotide transfer RNA is filed under the name Epipenaeon fissurae. Its description in RNAcentral is "tRNA-Pro". The record is from RNAcentral. Lineage: Eukaryota; Metazoa; Arthropoda; Malacostraca; Isopoda; Bopyridae.